GGCAAAUUUAAACAUUCUCUUAUUUGCUGGUCUUAUUUGACUAACAAACAUGAAGCUUGAUCAACAGUUCGCAGUAUGCAGUGGAGAAAAGCCUCAUCUUACCUCAUCUGCCACAAUCUCACUUCCAAGAAGUGAUGACCGCAGGAAGAGGCGCUGCCUUUUUACCUGCCUGUCGUCAUUGUGAGCACACAAUCAGUCCACAGGGUCCAGGUUACCGUCUCCAUCUGUUGACAUACGGAAACCAAGGCAACCAAGCCAGCCUCCUGGCUUUCCUUACCCCAAAAUUCCGAGCAGAGACUCCCCGGGACAGAAUCUGUUGUUGGUGCACAACCUCUCCCAGAAAGAACUUGGUGUCCUUAGGGACAAGUUCUUGGGCAGAUCAUUGCAGUAGUGAGAGCUGUAGAUGCUUGAAAAUGUAUUCUGUUCUCUGCUGUCAGUUGGACACUGUACCAUCAAAGCUUUUGUUAUGGUGGUGACAAUUUCUGAGCUGUCUGUGUUGAUACAAUCCUCAUGCUGUUCUUGGCUAGAGUGAAGUCGUGUAUACUGAGAAAUACGAGACGCUUUCUGCAGAAACAAAGGAUGUACAUGCAAUGAUGCACUCAGACAAACUCUCAGAAAGCUGAGAUGAAUCUAGGAAUAUCAAGAUUUGUAAGUAUGUUUCCUGUUUUGCUGCAGUGUUUAAGGACAAAAUGACAGUUUACAAGGCAAUGUUUCCCCAGAAAAAUAUUGCCUUUUCUGGGGGGAAAAAAAGUGCCUCACAGCUCUUGCUGCUCCCUGGUAAAUUGAACGCAGCCAGGUGCAGGCUGAAGCACUUGCAGUGGUCCUGAUGACUGCUGAAUCUGAUCUUUUGCUGGGAUUUAUGAAAAGUCUCUCCCAGCUGUAAUUUCUUGACUUGGAC
Molecule: long non-coding RNA, 898 nt
Filed under: Anser brachyrhynchus (Pink-footed goose)
Lineage: Eukaryota; Metazoa; Chordata; Aves; Anseriformes; Anatidae
Description: lncRNA (ENSABRG00000003153.1)
Source: RNAcentral